Molecule: ribosomal RNA, 495 nt
Filed under: uncultured bacterium
Lineage: Bacteria
Description: partial 16S ribosomal RNA
Rfam family: Bacterial small subunit ribosomal RNA
Source: RNAcentral
GACGAACGCUGGCGGCGUGCCUAAUACAUGCAAGUAGAACGCUGAAGGAGGAGCUUGCUUCUCUGGAUGAGUUGCGAACGGGUGAGUAACGCGUAGGUAACCUGCCUGGUAGCGGGGGAUAACUAUUGGAAACGAUAGCUAAUACCGCAUAAGAGUAGAUGUCGCAUGACAUUUGCUUAAAAGGUGCAAUUGCAUCACUACCAGAUGGACCUGCGUUGUAUUAGCUAGUUGGUGAGGUAAUGGCUCACCAAGGCAACGAUACAUAGCCGACCUGAGAGGGGGAUCGGGCACACUGGGACUGAGACACGGCCCAGACUCCUACGGGAGGCAGCAGGAGGGAAUCUUCGGCAAAGGACGGAAGGCUGACCGAGCAACGCCGCGGGAGUGAAGAAGGGUUUCGGAUCGGAAAGCUCUGUUGUAAGGGAAGAACGAGUGUGAGAGUGGAAAGUUCACACUGUGACGGUAUCUUAUCAGAAAGGGACGGCUAACUACGUG